GGUAUCUUUUUUGUUUGUUUUGAAAUUAGGCCCCGAUUGAAUAUUAUAAAUCUAUGUGUGGAUUUUGAGUUAGGUCUUUUUGGGUAUGGAUGAGUUCGGUUUUGAUGUAUAAGAACCUAAAAAUAUUUAAAUAACAAAUGUAUCUGAAACGGGUUCAGAUAUUUGUACCAAAAAUCACUAUUAUUAUCCGAUUUGGUACAAGUUUUUGGAAUACAAUUCGUUAUAUUAUGAUUCAUCUAAAAAUAUAUAACACUAAUUAUGGAAAAAAAAUAUCAAUGUAUAAAAAUAUAAGAAACUCGCGGAUUUCUAGUUCAAACUUAAACUAAUAGCGAGCAUGUAAUUUAAUAG
RNAcentral lists this long non-coding RNA (348 nucleotides) under Brassica napus (rape). RNAcentral's name for it is "long non-coding RNA (BNAP_LNC023487)". The record is from RNAcentral. Lineage: Eukaryota; Viridiplantae; Streptophyta; Magnoliopsida; Brassicales; Brassicaceae.